GACGAACGCUGGCGGCGUGCCUAAUACAUGCAAGUAGAACGCAGUUGCGAACGGGUGAGUAACGCGUAGGUAACUGCCUCAUAGCGGGGGAUAACUAUUGGAAACGAUAGCUAAAACCGCAUACUGUGAGAUGGACCUGCGUUGUAUUAGCUAGUUGGUGAGGUAAAGGCUCACCAAGGCGACGAUACAUAGCCGACCUGAGAGGGGGAUCGGCCAAAAUGGGAAUGAGUAACGGCUCAGACGCCUAUGGGAGGGAGCAGGAGGGAAUCGUUGGCAAUGGACGGAAGGCUGACCGAGCAAAGCCGCGUGAGUGAAGGAGGUUUUCGGAGCGUAAAGCUCUGUUGUUAGAGAAGCGUUAACUAACCAGAAAGGGACGGCUAACUACGUGCCAGCAGCCGCGGUAAUAC
This 407-nucleotide ribosomal RNA is filed under the name uncultured bacterium. RNAcentral's name for it is "partial 16S ribosomal RNA". It matches the Rfam family "Bacterial small subunit ribosomal RNA", at positions 28 to 526 of the family's 1533-position model. The record is from RNAcentral.